CAGCCGCCGCGGUAAUACGUAGGGUGCGAGCGUUAAUCGGAAUUACUGGGCGUAAAGCGUGCGCAGGCGGUUCGUUAAGACAGAUGUGAAAUCCCCGGGCUUAACCUGGGAACUGCAUUUGUGACUGGCGAGCUAGAGUAUGGCAGAGGGGGGUAGAAUUCCACGUGUAUCAGUGAAAUGCGUAGAGAUGUGGAGGAAUACCGAUGGCGAAGGCAGCCCCCUGGGCCAAUACUGACGCUCAUGCACGAAAGCGUGGGGAGCAAACAGGAUUAGAUACCCCCGUAGUCCCUGUCUCUUAUAC
This 301-nucleotide ribosomal RNA is filed under the name uncultured bacterium. RNAcentral's name for it is "partial 16S ribosomal RNA". It matches the Rfam family "Bacterial small subunit ribosomal RNA", at positions 509 to 807 of the family's 1533-position model. The record is from RNAcentral.